Molecule: small RNA, 851 nt
Filed under: Olea europaea subsp. europaea
Lineage: Eukaryota; Viridiplantae; Streptophyta; Magnoliopsida; Lamiales; Oleaceae
Source: RNAcentral
ACUAAAAUCAUUGUCAACAUUAUGCAUAAUGAAGUAACAGCAAUAACAAUUCUUUCAAGAGCUAUAGGAUCAUUUCCAACCACAUUUACUUGUCCCCAAUGUUUAGGAGAUUGGUAAGCUAAUUCAUCCACUCCCUCAAUUCUCUAUGUUUAUCUCUAUCUGGAGCAAUGUGAGACUAUGUCAACAUAUCUUAGAGCCUCCGAGUUCUGCCACCACGAGGCAUGACUCACUUACAGUUAUACAUGAUAUGCUAAACAUUAGAAUGUACGUACAGUGAAGCCUACUGACUUUAAUGCAUGCUCUGAUACCAAAUUGACAUGCCUCGCUCCGUGUAAUGUUAUUGGACCCGAAAAGUAACAUACGCCGAUAAUAGGUACCAGCUAAAGGUCGAACCUACCGUCAAGGGUACUACGAUAUGCAACUUUUUAUAAAUUAAUUCUAACAAAAUUUCAACAUUAUCUUUGUUGUAAAUAGAACUAAUCGACUUAUAAUUCACUGUGAUUAAAUCCCAAAAAUAACACAUACAAUAGAGAUAAACCGAAAAUUCAUCUUUUACUAUGAAAAUAACUUAAAACGUACAUAUGGAUAUAAAAUACAUAGUGAGUCUCAUAGCUAUCUACAAGUUAUGCAAAAUCAUAUCUAAGAGUGAACAAGUGUCCCAAAACACUAACUACACGCUUUAUGAAAUGAGUCAUACGAGCAAACUCUGUCGUAUGACAGUUUCAAAAAUCAAGGCUUAGCUACAAAGAUGCCCAGAACUCAAUUGCUACCUAAUAAAAAAAUCGUAGAAAAAUAUAUGAGUUGAUAGCUCAGUGUGUGAAAAAGUUCAAACAUAAUUAUACUUUCUCAUU